UACGUAGGGUGCGAGCGUUGUCCGGAAUUACUGGGCGUAAAGAGCUCGUAGGUGGUUUGUCGCGUCGUCUGUGAAAUUCCGGGGCUUAACUCCGGGCGUGCAGGCGAUACGGGCAUAACUUGAGUACUGUAGGGGAGACUGGAAUUCCUGGUGUAGCGGUGAAAUGCGCAGAUAUCAGGAGGAACACCGGUGGCGAAGGCGGGUCUCUGGGCAGUAACUGACGCUGAGGAGCGAAAGCAUGGGGAGCGAACAGG
RNAcentral lists this ribosomal RNA (254 nucleotides) under uncultured bacterium. RNAcentral describes it as "partial 16S ribosomal RNA". It matches the Rfam family "Bacterial small subunit ribosomal RNA", at positions 524 to 776 of the family's 1533-position model. The record is from RNAcentral.